Long non-coding RNA from Eupeodes corollae, 2935 nucleotides. RefSeq lists it as uncharacterized. The record is from RefSeq and is a predicted model, not a curated record. The transcript is spliced from 3 exons. NCBI's taxonomy places the organism in Eukaryota, Metazoa, Arthropoda, Insecta, Diptera, Syrphidae.
CCAUUCGAUAGAAAAAUUUAUAAAGAAUAUUUUAGUAUUUUUAUUUUAACAAAAUUGUUAAAAUGUAUGAAGAUAUUGACCAUUCAAGAGGGUUUCAUGAGUAUUUUCAUAGUAAAAGUGCUUGGGUGUCAUGAGUACGUAGCUUGCUACCCUGUAGUAUCAAGAGUUUGGCGGCAAGUUUGAAAAUGUUUUUCAAUCGAAUCGACACUGAAUUUUUAUAGAAUGGUUAUUCAAACUGAAAACCUUAAAAGAGAACCUAAUUAUGAAUUGGCAAACACAUUUAUAGUAAAAAGUCAACUUUGAAGAUAACAACAUUUCUGACGUCAUAAUUCGGCCUGCAAUUAAUUGCAAGAAGUGAGCAUCCCUGUAAUGAUUAUCGAAUUGCAUAUUUAUAGGUCAAAUUUCUAAUAAGAUGUGUUGUAUUGAAGUUUUUAUUGUAUUCUGGAUUUGUUUCAGUUUAAAAGCAAAAGCAAAGGUAAGAUGAAAAAAAGAUAUGAUCUGAUAUGACGAGAAGAUGUGCUCCACCAAUUUACCCCCAUAUCAAAGCUAAUGGGGUCUGUGACUAGGUAUGCUAUGCAAUGUUCCGUUUAUUUUUUAUGCUAUGUCUAUAUAUUUCAUCAAAAUAUCUAACCUUAAAAGUUAUGCUUUUAAAUUUAAUUUUUCUUUCAUUUUAUUUCUCUUUUUUUAAUUUUUGUUGGGUCCAAUGGCAUGCGACUUGAGUGCAUCGAGUACGAGCUUGUAAGACUCUUAUCUAUUGUUUUUGUCUAAUUGAACCCAACUAUCAAGAAGUAAUAAUUUUAAUGCGCCCAUUAACUAUUAAGAGGUUCUUAGAUAGUUCCUUACGAAAAGCUUUUAAUCCAAUGGAGGCUCAGCGUUGGUUUUUCUUUUUCAUAAAGAAAUUACAAUAGGUAUACCUACAUACCGACCUACCCUUAAGGUUGAGUUCAGUUCAGUCCUUCAAUGAGAGUAAGUAGUAUGCUACGACCUACGAGUAAUAAAACACAUUUGGCUUAAUUUUAUCAAUAAAAGGACAUAGGUUGGUACAUUGAGAGUGUUGAAAUGAGAAAAAAAAGUAUAUGAGGAAUUGUGUGUAACAUUUGGAAGACUCUUGCGCCUUGUUGGGUGAAUGGAUGGGGUGGAUUUGACGGAUGCAUUUGCUUUGAUUAGUUUCUUAUUAUUUUUAACAGCUUGUCACUAUGACUUUUGAUGGGAAAUGUUGUUUUUGUAAAUAAUUAAAACAGGAAGUUCAUUUGAAAAAGGAUAUGCAUACGUUAAGAGAGUAUUUUGUACGAGUGUUCAUCAAAUUUUAAUGGGUUUAGUUAAUUUGAUCAAAUAUUAAAAUUCGACGUAUCUUUUGGUCGAUGCUUAAGUUGUGUUAUGUUUAAUAUGCUCGUGCGGUUUACAGCCCGUUCACACGAUCACGAAUCAGCGGUUUUGCCGUAACGUCGAUUUUACCGUAUAAGCCAGUGUCAAUAUAAUUUAAAUGAGUAUAUUCAGGCGAUACGGCAUUUAACUGUAUACGGUAAAAUUACCGAUUAGGUCGAUUUUGUCUCCGCAAAUCGUUUUCGGUCGUACGGUAAAAAAAACUAUUCAGCUCAUCGUGGCAAUGUAUUUAUAGACAGUGCGUUCAGACGAUCUGAUAUUUUGACCGAUAGUGCGUCAUUUUACGUUUGGACUACUGUCGAAUAAUUUAUUGCUUGUAUAUAGUCGUAGUGCGGGUCGUCGGUUAAGGGUUGAGUACGGUGUACUGUAAAAUUACCGUACCGUCUAAACACUCCAACCGAAAGACACUGAAUCGAGAAAAUAUCCGAUACGGUGAAAAUAUCGAAUCGUGUGAACGGGCUUUUAGGUUUAUCUAAUUUAAUUUUAAAAUUUUGUGCAUCGAACCGAAACAUAAGCGAUAAGAAAAUUAAAAAAAAAGAACAUUUGUGAAACGAGUGAUUAAGUUAUGGUUUUGUAGAUUUGAUUUUUUACUAAAAAUAUCAGUUCUUGAAAUAACGGUAAUUUUAUGGAAAACCUAAGGGCCGUUUAAAGCCAUCAGUAAAAAUUUAAACAUCAUGAAUUUGAAAUGUUUUACUGAUGAGCGUUUAUAGCAAUCAGAAAAUGUACGUCAUUAAGCCGCGUUACAUGCAUUACAACAACAAAUCAAGAUCCAGCUUUGUGUUUGGAUCUUAAUUUGAAAUCCAAAAUUUAUUUCUCUAUUUCACCCAGAGAGGGAUGCAAUUUGUAAUAUAACAUUUAAAUGUUGGUACCACUACCAACUAUUUGAAAUAUUACACAUAUUGCCAUAGUUACAUUUUCAUCUGACUGAAAAAAAAAUAUUUUAAAUAGAAAGUAAGCAAUUUCAUUUUUAUUUAGUUUUUAUCUUAAACACACGAAACAAAAACCUUUGACAAAAUAAAACAUAAAUUAUUGAACUUAAAAGCAAUAAGUGCAAAAAAUGUAUAUUUCGCCCAAUUAAUGGAUAUCAUUUUUCCCUUAAAAGAGCAACAAAAAAAUAUUCAUGAAAUAAAAUGUUCUUUGGGCAACUCUGCUUUAAACAUCAAACAAUUCGCAAAUCUGCAACCACACAAAAUGGAAAACACAAAUAAAAUGUAAGUGAUUUGUAAAUUAAAUAAACUUUUCUCGUAUUGCAUUCACCAAAUUUGAUGGUAUUUUAGUAAAAUCUGGAGUGCAAAAGAAACCAAAACCAAAUUUAUGGGUUUUGAUUGUUUUUUUUUUGCUUUGUUUCGAAAUGUCACUUUUGAAAGAACGAAUUUGUCACUGCUACCAAACUUUAAAUAAUAAAAAAUAUGAUGAUCCAAUGCUGUUUUAUUAUUAUGAUCUGAUCCGGAUCAAAUCAUGGUGAUAAUAAAACUCGGCUAUUAUACAUAUACAGUAGUGGACAAGAAUUCAGCACACUUUUUGAAGAAAAUAAAAAUCAUUUAAUUUUCAA